RNAcentral lists this ribosomal RNA (253 nucleotides) under uncultured bacterium. RNAcentral's name for it is "partial 16S ribosomal RNA". It matches the Rfam family "Bacterial small subunit ribosomal RNA", at positions 524 to 776 of the family's 1533-position model. The record is from RNAcentral.
UACAGAGGGGGCAAGCGUUGUUCGGAAUUACUGGGCGUAAAGGGCGCGUAGGCGGCCUGUUAAGUCGAACGUGAAAUCCCUGGGCUCAACCCAGGAACUGCGUCCGAUACUGGUUGGCUUGAAUCCGGGAGAGGGAUGUGGAAUUCCAGGUGUAGCGGUGAAAUGCGUAGAUAUCUGGAGGAACACCGGUGGCGAAGGCGACAUCCUGGACCGGUAUUGACGCUGAGGCGCGAAAGCGUGGGGAGCGAACAGG